This is a long non-coding RNA of Clupea harengus (Atlantic herring), 782 nucleotides long. NCBI's taxonomy places the organism in Eukaryota, Metazoa, Chordata, Actinopteri, Clupeiformes, Clupeidae. The record is from Ensembl.
CAUCACUUGUGACUAGGAAUCUUUGACCUGGAAACCACACCAUCCAGAUUGUGGAUCUGGCAGCAUUCUAAUCCCUGUUUAAGAGGGUAUAUGAGUUAGUCCAGUCCAGAGGGCCUAAAAUGAAUCCAUGAAACCUCUUAGGGCGCAGGGUAGGGUAGCUAUCAGUGAAGGGCAACAUCUCAGCUGCCAGUAGGUAUGUGUGUGUGUGUGUGUGUGUGUGUGUGUGUGUGUGUCGAGGUAGAGCUGUGUGUGUAUGUAUGUAUGUGUGAUCUAUGGAGGUAGAGCUGUGUGUGUGUGUGUGUUUGAGAGAGAGAGAUCUAUGCAGGUAGAGCUGUGUGUGUGUGUGAGAUCUAUAGAGGUAGAGCUGUGUGUGUGUGAUCUAUGGAGGUAGAGCUGUGUGUGUGUGUGUGUGUGUGUGUGUGAUCUAUGGAGGUAGAGCUGUGUGUGUGUGUGUGAUCUAUAGAGGUAAAGCUGUGUGUGUGAGAGAGAUCUAUGGAGGUAGAGCUGUGUGUGUGAGAGAGAUCUAUGGAGGUAGAGCUGUGUGUGUGUGAGAUCUAUAGAGGUAGAGCUGUGUGUGUGUGUGUGUUGUAUAGAGGUAGAGCUGUGUGUGUGUGUGUUUGCACUGAACCACCGGUGAUAUACAAACUAAAGUGUGUGGGAUUAGAAUCACUGACUGGACCUUUAAUGAUAUCAAUAGCGAAGUUAGAUCAGUGCAUUUAAUAAUAUUAAUAAGGAAGUUACAUCAGUGCCUUUAAUAAUAUCAAUAACGGAGUUGAUCUGUG